Molecule: ribosomal RNA, 747 nt
Filed under: uncultured bacterium
Lineage: Bacteria
Description: bacterial SSU rRNA
Rfam family: Bacterial small subunit ribosomal RNA
Source: RNAcentral
GCAGUCGAACGCGAAAGCUCUCUUCGGAGAGUUAGUAGAGUGGCGAACGGGUGAGUAACACGUAAUCAAGCUACCCCCGAGACUGGGAUAACCGCGGGAAACUGCGGCUAAUACCGGGUAGCCCUUCUGGAUCGCAUGAUCCGGUUGGUAAAUGGUAGGGAUCCUUCGGGACCUUCUGCUUGGGGAGGUGAUUGCGGCCUAUCAGCUUGUUGGUGGUGUAACGGACCACCAAGGCGACGACGGGUAGCGGGCCUGAGAGGGUGGCCCGUCACACUGGGACUGAGACACUGCCCAGACUCCUACGGGAGGCUGCAGUCGAGAAUCUUCCGCAAUGGACGCAAGUCUGACGGAGCGACGCCGCGUGUAGGACGAAGGCCCUAGGGUUGUAAACUACUGUCACGGGUUAUGAAUUGGCUGUCGUUAAUAGCGGCAGUUUUGACGUAAGCUCGAAAGGAAGCACCGGCUAACUCUGUGCCAGCAGCCGCGGUAAUACAGAGGGUGCAAACGUUGUUCGGAAUUACUGGGCAUAAAGCGCACGUAGGCGGUUUAGUAAGUGUGAGGUGAAAUCCCACGGCUCACCCGUGGAACUGCUUUGCAUACUGCUAAACUCGAGGAAGGUAGGGGAGAGCAGAACUCUUGGAGGAGCGGUGAAAUGCGUAGAUAUCAAGAGGAAUACCAGUGGCGAAGGCGGCUCUCUGGUCCUUUACUGACGCUGAGGUGCGAAAGCUAGGGUAGCGAACGGGAUUA